CCUACGGGUGGCAGCAGUGGGGAAUAUUGGACAAUGGGCGAAAGCCUGAUCCAGCCAUGCCGCGUGUGUGAAGAAGGCCUUCGGGUUGUAAAGCACUUUCAGUGGGGAAGAAAGCCUUGGGGCUAAUACCCUCGAGGAAGGACAUCACCCACAGAAGAAGCACCGGCUAACUCCGUGCCAGCAGCCGCGGUAAUACGGAGGGUGCGAGCGUUAAUCGGAAUUACUUGGCGUAAAGCGCGCGUAGGCGGUCUGAUAAGCCGGUUGUGAAAGCCCCGGGCUCAACCUGGGAACGGCAUCCGGAACUGUCAGGCUAGAGUGCAGGAGAGGAAGGUAGAAUUCCCGGUGUAGCGGUGAAAUGCGUAGAGAUCGGGAGGAAUACCAGUGGCGAAGGCGGCCUUCUGGACUGACACUGACGCUGAGGUGCGAAAGCGUGGGUAGCAAACAGGAUUAGAUACCCGAGUAGUC
Molecule: ribosomal RNA, 465 nt
Filed under: Vreelandella stevensii
Lineage: Bacteria; Pseudomonadati; Pseudomonadota; Gammaproteobacteria; Oceanospirillales; Halomonadaceae
Description: partial 16S ribosomal RNA
Rfam family: Bacterial small subunit ribosomal RNA
Source: RNAcentral